Pelobates cultripes (western spadefoot toad) is the source of this 3388-nucleotide non-coding RNA. NCBI's taxonomy places the organism in Eukaryota, Metazoa, Chordata, Amphibia, Anura, Pelobatidae. The record is from the annotation of a GenBank genome assembly.
CAAAGGGAUUUAACUCCUAAAUGGCAGAUGAUUGAGCAGUGAGGCUGCAGGGGGAUGUUCUAUACACCAAAACUCCUUCAUUAAGCUAAAGUUGUUCAGGUGACUAUAGUGUCCCUUUACGUAUUCAUCACAUUUUGUUGUUAGAGGGGAAGUAUGUCUCUAUGGUUAUUGCAUAUGCAUAUGGUAUGCAAACUUGAUUAUUCAUAUAGGUAAAUCAUUUGUGAAUUCUCAGGGGAACUGCACAUUCCAAAUGCUGUAUCAAAACAAUAGCAAGAACAUGUUUUGUGCAUAGAAAAGAAUAACAACAAAAUAAAGUGGAGCAUCUGGGGAAUUGGCACAAAAAACAUUAUUCUAUAAAUAUAUACACUGAGCUUUCUGAGACCAGCAUCUAAUACUAUACUCCUAUCACAUUAGGCCAAGGGUGCCCACAUUGUAAGUAAUCAAACCAUUUUUGACUUCUUACCUGGAGUCUGCUGGGAGCCACUCCCUAUCUCCAGUACUAAAGGUCGAUAUCAGGAAGCUCCUAAGCACAAACCUCCACUUGAUUACUUCAUUGUCUACAAGUAUCAGAUGGUCACUGGUAGCCAAUGAGCUAACGGAAGGUUCUGCAGCAACUUCAGCAGUAGUGAUACCCAAUACUUUGGAAUUAAUUGAUUGACAAACGGGCAUCUAUGUGUUUUCUGCUUAUAUUGUAUAUCCCAUAUGCUCUCUAAAUCUGCUGCUGAAUGUUUGCACUUCUUCCCCAUCCACUUCUUUGCCCUUUACUUUUCCUACCUCUUUUUAUUCAUUUUCUCUUUUGUGGUAAAUAAAGGGUUAAAAACCCUUUACUUACCUGAUCCCAGCAUCGAUGUGCCUCAGCGCUGGGUUGUGGCUUUGCCUCCUCCGACGUUACUGACCAGGGGAAGCUAAUGUGCAUGUUCGGUAAGCUCUGCGCAUGCAUUAAGCCCUCCCCAUAGAAGAGCAUUGGGGAAAUAACUGACGCUGGAUGUCCUCAUGCAGACCAAAAGUCUGUUAACAUACAGGAAGUGCCUCCAGUGGCUGUCUGGGAGCCAGCCACUGGAGGCAGACAUAGUGCUGUAAUGUAAACAUUGCAAUCUCUCUGGAUGUUUUACAUUGUAUCUCUAAGUGCAAUAGGCACAGUGCACCUAGAUCACUUUAAUGAGCUGAAGUGGUCUGGGUGUCUAUAGUGUCCUUUUAAUAUUAAAAUAAACCUUCACUAUCAAUAAAAAUUAAACCUGGGGGAAACCUUUAUACCCAUUCCUUAAGUAGAACUAAUGGGAGAGCAAUCUCCUGGUCCUCAAUAACAUGCACACUCUGGAUGCUAGGGUUCCCAAAUCCUCCCAGGUACCCAUUUGCAUCCUAAAGUUAAGUGCACCUACCCAUUGUCUUCCUCUAAUAUGGACCAAGGGGCACAUAUUUCUCUAGAAGAGACAAUUCAAGAUAGGCCGUUGUUCUAAUUUUGUCACAAUUUCAAUGUUUGUGACAAUGCCACUUGCUGUGGAUGUAUGGGUUUAAUGCAGUGUGUUACAGGGUUAGUAUAACAUGUUUAUUUAUAAUUCUAGGUUCUUGAAAUACACUGAGUUUUUGUUUUACAGAACACAUUAGGAUUUAAAGUAGUGUUUCGGGUUAGUUUUAGUCAAUAUGUAGAUGAGGGGCCAUAAAAUGUACUGUUGGGCAGAUGCCCCUGGUCUGUUUGACACCUAACUAUGCCUCUACCUUGCUGCACAGAAUCAGGUGGAUACAUACCUAUUUUCCUGUUGGGCUGACUCUAAGAUGCAAUGCUAGCCACUUUCACUGUGAGUCUUAACCCUUUCAGUAAAGGUGUCCUAUCUUGCCCUUACUAACAGUAUAUGGAGUAGCACACACGCCUGCUUUAUACAGUUUAACCCUUUGAGCAAUGAGUAUUGCAUUCAUUUGUCAAACUGACUCUUUUUUCACAAAUGAUAUUGUACCUAUUCUGGUGCAAGUUUUAUGGGAUCUUUUAAAUGUUUCAUUUUUAUUGUUGAAUUCACAUCUUAUUGCGGGGGAAACUACUGCCAUCUUGAGGCUUACUUGGCAGGUAUUGUUUAUCCCGUUACGUGUGGAAAUAGGAUGCCUGGAAAUAAUUGGCAAACAUUGAUAGUUAACUCGAAAAUGAUUACCAUUUGAAAAAAAAAAAAGAAAAGAAACUUUAUUAGCAACAACAUCACAUACAUUGAUUUACAUGACUUAAGUAUUCAAAAAAGAGUUUACGCAUUAAAGCCAUAAGAUUUUUCAGUGUGAUCUCUGGAAUUCUGCAGCUGCCCAAAAAAUAAUCUAAGACUGUUAACACCGACAUAUCUAAAGCUGAAUAAGAUUUAUAGGUUUAUAAAUGGAUUGGCAAUGAUUUCUAACAUGUAAAGGACCAUUUCAUGAACCUGAAGUAGACUUAAAACCCAGCCAGCCAUUGAUCCAAAUAAGAAUCUGAAAAACUUAAUAAUUGCUGUUCACCAAUGGUCCCUACCUACCCGUAAGCAAUUUUACCAAGCCCAAGGGUCUGACAUUGCUAGUAGAGAUUUACUCUCACAGUUGAAAUUGCAGGAAAACAUUAUUUAUGUGUAUUGUGAGUGGGUUGAAUACUUGAAAACAAACAAACGUUCGCUUUGCUUUUCGUUUUUUUAACCUUUGUUUCACCAAAAAAAAAAAAAAAACAUUAAACCUCAAAGUGUUGGGCAUAUUGUGUGAAACAAAACCAAAGAUCCCCACAGGGUUAUUCACCAUGGUGUUAAUCCAUAGUAAAUUCAAAUGUAAAGCCAGAAUAGCUAAACUGGGUUCCAGUUUGGCUAUUUUACCCUAAAACUUGAAAUUCACUUUUAACUCUUCCUUCCGUAAAUAAUCCUGUAUAUAAUAAUGUAUUUUAAUUUCAAGCUAUGACAAAAUGUAUUAGAGAGGGGAAUGAUUUUGCAAGGUAGUAGUCAGACUAGCAAAGUACAUAAAAACCCACAAACCAAUACCAAACAGACUAAUAAGGCAUUGGAAUUAGCCUCCUUACUAGCUGUUUAGAUGUAUUCUUUGAGAACACUCAGGGUAGUUGUAAUUUACAAUUCACAAAACCAAGUGAUAUGAUCUGUCCUAUGUUAUGUACGUUCAUUGACUUAGUUCCAUCGUCACGUUUCCCACCAAUUACAUAAUUUGUUCCCUUUAGAUAGAUCAAGAGAUGCUUAAUCCAGGAAAUAACUCUAUGUGCGUCCUCUAGUAAACAGCAACAGGCUACUGCUCUGAUUUCACAAUGCAACCGGCUGAGAACGAAGUGGAACCUUAUCUCAGCGGAAUGUUUCCUUAUGACCUACAAGGUGACUUUGAUAUAAAAAUACAUGCAAACCUUUCGGCUUCCUCAUCACCAUUUAAAAAAAUAAUAAUAAUAUUCUUG